Molecule: ribosomal RNA, 464 nt
Filed under: uncultured bacterium
Lineage: Bacteria
Description: bacterial SSU rRNA
Rfam family: Bacterial small subunit ribosomal RNA
Source: RNAcentral
UCCAGACUCCUACGGGAGGCAGCAGUGAGGAAUAUUGGUCAAUGGGCGGGAGCCUGAACCAGCCAUGCCGCGUGAAGGCGAGUGCCCUACGGGCGUUAAACUUCUUUUGUGCGGGAGCAAUAAGGGCCACGUGUGGCCCGAUGAGAGUACCGCACGAAUAAGCAUCGGCUAACUCCGUGCCAGCAGCCGCGGUAAUACGGAGGAUGCGAGCGUUAUCCGGAUUUAUUGGGUUUAAAGGGUGCGCAGGCGGGAGAUCAAGUCAGCGGUAAAAUGUCGGGGCUCAACCCCGGCCGGCCGUUGAAACUGGUUUUCUAGAGUUGGAGAGAAGUAUGCGGAAUUCGUGGUGUAGCGGUGAAAUGCAUAGAUAUCACGAAGAACUCCGAUUGCGAAGGCAGCAUACCGGCUCCAUACUGACGCUGAGGCACGAAAGCGUGGGGAUCGAACAGGAUUAGAUACCCUUGUAG